RNAcentral lists this ribosomal RNA (253 nucleotides) under uncultured bacterium. Its description in RNAcentral is "partial 16S ribosomal RNA". It matches the Rfam family "Bacterial small subunit ribosomal RNA", at positions 524 to 776 of the family's 1533-position model. The record is from RNAcentral.
UACAGGGGGUGCAAGCGUUACUCGGAAUCAUUGGGCGUAAAGAGCGUGUAGGCUGUCUAUUAAGUUUGGUGUGAAAGCCCCGGGCCCAAUCCGGGAAGAGCAUUGAAUACUGAUAGACUAGAGUAUGGGAGGGGUUAGUGGAAUUCCUGGUGUAGAGGUGAAAUUCGUAGAUAUCAGGAGGAACAACAGUGGCGAAGGCGACUAACUGGACCAUUACUGACGCUAAGGCGCGAAAGCGUGGGGAGCAAACAGG